Molecule: long non-coding RNA, 491 nt
Filed under: Rosa chinensis
Lineage: Eukaryota; Viridiplantae; Streptophyta; Magnoliopsida; Rosales; Rosaceae
Description: sRNA RchiOBHm_Chr7g0182381
Source: RNAcentral
UCUCUCUCUCUCUUCCUUCACGUGCCUAACCUUUCUUCUUUUCUUCUUCUGCUUUUCCAAAAGAUUCCCCCUUAGUUGUUCCCCCCUUUUUCCUUCACGUGUUGUCCCCCCCUUUUUUUUUUUUUUUUCUCUCUCUCUUCCUUUUCACGUGUUGUUCUCUCUUCUUCUUUUUUUCUUUUCUUCUCUUCCUUUUCUGAGACCAGUGCUGUCUCUUUCUCCUUCUUUCUGUCUCUCUUUCCCUUCUCCUUUCUUCUCUCUCUCCUUUCUCCUGUCAGAUGAAAUUGAAGUGGAGUGCAGAUCAGAGAAUUUCAGCGUGGCGAGUAUAGCGGCUGCGGCGGUGGAGCGGCUGCUGCGGUGAAGCUGAAGGCGGUCGAUCGGAGAUGCUGCAGAUCGGGUUUCGUUGGUGGGAAUGGAGGAAUCAAGCUGAUGUGAGGCUGGAAAGGUUAGUGGGCUACAGCUCACUUAACACAGUAUGUAGGCUCUUAAAUUAG